UAUAGGUUUGGUCCCAGCCUUCCUGUUAACUUUCAAUAGACUUAUACAUGCAAGCAUCCACGCCCCGGUGAGUAACGCCCUUCGAAUCACACAGGACUAAAAGGAGCAGGUAUCAAGCACACACUCUUGUAGCUCACAACGCCUUGCUUAACCACACCCCCACGGGAGACAGCAGUAACAAAAAUUAAGCCAUAAACGAAAGUUUGACUAAGCCAUAUUGACUAGGGUUGGUAAAUCUCGUGCCAGCCACCGCGGUCAUACGAUUGACCCAAGCUAACAGGAGUACGGCGUAAAGCGUGUUAAAGCAUCAUACUAAAUAGAGUUAAAUUUUAAUUAAACUGUAAAAAGCCAUAAUUAUAGCAAAAAUAAAUGACGAAAGUAACCCUACAAUAGCUGAUACACCAUAGCUAAGACCCAAACUGGGAUUAGAUACCCCACUAUGCUUAGCCCUCAACACAAAUAAUUAU
RNAcentral lists this ribosomal RNA (467 nucleotides) under Ovis aries (sheep). RNAcentral describes it as "partial 12S ribosomal RNA". Lineage: Eukaryota; Metazoa; Chordata; Mammalia; Artiodactyla; Bovidae. The record is from RNAcentral.